This 303-nucleotide ribosomal RNA is filed under the name Bacillus haynesii. Its description in RNAcentral is "partial 16S ribosomal RNA". It matches the Rfam family "Bacterial small subunit ribosomal RNA", at positions 1 to 294 of the family's 1533-position model. The record is from RNAcentral. Lineage: Bacteria; Bacillati; Bacillota; Bacilli; Caryophanales; Bacillaceae.
UUCAUGGAGAGUUUGAUCCUGGCUCAGGACGAACGCUGGCGGCGUGCCUAAUACAUGCAAGUCGAGCGGACCGACGGGAGCUUGCUCCCUUAGGUUAGCGGCGGACGGGUGAGUAACACGUGGGUAACCUGCCUGUAAGACUGGGAUAACUCCGGGAAACCGGGGCUAAUACCGGAUGCUUAAUUGAACCGCAUGGUUCAAUUAUAAAAGGUGGCUUCGGCUACCACUUACAGAUGGACCCGCGGCGCAUUAGCUAGUUGGUGAGGUAACGGCUCACCAAGGCAACGAUGCGUAGCCGACCUG